Long non-coding RNA from Electrophorus electricus (electric eel), 985 nucleotides. RefSeq lists it as uncharacterized. The record is from RefSeq and is a predicted model, not a curated record. NCBI's taxonomy places the organism in Eukaryota, Metazoa, Chordata, Actinopteri, Gymnotiformes, Gymnotidae.
CAAAAAGGGAUUGCCAGAGACUGUGGUGCAUUUUGACACAUGAUUGCUAUGUGGAUAUAGGAACAGAGCUAUCCUGAUGAUUCCUUUCUGAGAUGGCCAGACAUGGGAGGCUGAAGGGCUAAUGUAUUUGAGGCUCUACUUCCGAUUCUUCCAUCUUCACAUAAUGGACAUUUGUGAGUGCCAAGGGACCCACAUCACAGUGUUCGGAGCCAGAACACACUUCUUCAGAGAGCAGAGGGCCAGGGACAGAGCCACAGAGGGAAGAGAUGGGCGUGUGCUGAGAUCCAGAAUAAAAUGGAUGAAUCAGUUAUCACAGCUAGAUAUCACCUGACAACCUUUUUGCUCAAAGCUAAAAUAGAGAACGCACCAGGCUAUGAAUUUGCACCAGUCUGGGUAAUAUAACCAAGGCAAACCAUUUGAAAAUAUGUGUGAAUAAUCCAGAGUGAUUGGCUUGUCCUGGAUCCAUGUCUGCAGAGGACUUUUCAUCUGCUUUAAAAUGAAGGGUGAGACAGGCAGCUGUGUAUCUGCAGAAAGCAGAAAGUGGGUGAUGUGAGCAGAAAAACAAUGUGAAAUGUGCACAGAAAUUUGGAUAAACCCAAUGAAAUGCGUUCACCCGUGUUCUAUACGCAAGGAGGGCGGCAGGUUGUUGAAGGAGUAAUUUGAAACGGUCAGGUAUUUAAAACUCUGUUUCUAAAGGGUUUUAUGUUUGGAAUAGUAGGCGGAUAUUACGAACGUUGUCGUUUAGCAACUUUCCUUGACGCAUAUGCUGUUUCAUACCAUGUGUCACAACUAAAGGGAAUAAGGUGAUAACCAUGAUCUAAUUUCAAGAAUAUAAAUGGAGUAAAAACAUCAUUUAUGAGGUUCGUGUCUGCUCUGUAAAGCUGUAUACAUGGGUUCAUAAAUUCAAUGAGGUGUAUUUGACUGGCAACGGUCACGACUGCUUGUAUACCUUAUUUGUCGAUAUAUUCAAUUGCAGAGAAAUGAA